Molecule: ribosomal RNA, 908 nt
Filed under: Conidiocarpus fici-septicae
Lineage: Eukaryota; Fungi; Ascomycota; Dothideomycetes; Capnodiales; Capnodiaceae
Description: Conidiocarpus sp. DST-2020a partial large subunit ribosomal RNA
Rfam family: Eukaryotic large subunit ribosomal RNA
Source: RNAcentral
UGUUCUUCCCCCGCGGAGAUAAGCAUAUCAAUAAGCGGAGGAAAAGAAACCAACAGGGAUUGCCCUAGUAACGGCGAGUGAAGCGGCAACAGCUCAGAUUUGAAAUCUGGCGCCUUUGGCGUCCGAGUUGUAAUCUGUAGAGGAUGCUUUUGGGUAGCCACCGGUCUAAGUCCCCUGGAACGGGGCGUCACAGAGGGUGAGAAUCCCGUAUGUGACCGGAAGGGCGCCCUCUACAUAGCUCCUUCGACGAGUCGAGUUGUUUGGGAAUGCAGCUCUAAAUGGGAGGUAAAUUCCUUCUAAAGCUAAAUACCGGCCAGAGACCGAUAGCGCACAAGUAGAGUGAUCGAAAGAUGAAAAGCACUUUGGAAAGAGAGUUAAAAAGCACGUGAAAUUGUUGAAAGGGAAGCGCUUGCAACCAGACUUGUUGGCGGUGUUCCGCCGGUCUUCUGACCGGUUUACUCACCGUCUGCAGGCCAGCAUCAUCUGGGGCCGCUGGAUAAAAGCGAGGGGAAUGUGGCUCCCCCGGGAGUGUUAUAGCCCCUCGUGCAAUACAGCGAGCCUCGGGUGAGGUCCGCGCUUCGGCUAGGAUGCUGGCGUAAUGGUCGUAAGCGGCCCGUCUUGAAACACGGACCAAGGAGUCUAACAUCUAUGCGAGUGUUCGGGUGUCAAACCCCUACGCGUAAUGAAAGUGAACGGAGGUGGGAGCCUUAGGGUGCACCAUCGACCGAUCCUGAUGUCUUCGGAUGGAUUUGAGUAAGAGCAUAGCUGUUGGGACCCGAAAGAUGGUGAACUAUGCCUGGAUAGGGUGAAGCCAGAGGAAACUCUGGUGGAGGCUCGCAGCGGUUCUGACGUGCAAAUCGAUCGUCAAAUUUGGGUAUAGGGGCGAAAGACUAAUCGAACCAUCUAGU